This 252-nucleotide ribosomal RNA is filed under the name uncultured bacterium. RNAcentral describes it as "partial 16S ribosomal RNA". It matches the Rfam family "Bacterial small subunit ribosomal RNA", at positions 524 to 776 of the family's 1533-position model. The record is from RNAcentral.
UACGAGUGCCCCCAAGCAUUAUCCGGAAUCAUUGGGCGUAAAGGGUGUGUAGGUUGUCUUGUUAGUCUUCUGUGAAAUUCUUCGGCUUAACCGGGGGUCCGCAGGGGAAACGGCAGGACUAGAGGAUGCGAGAGGUGUGCGGAACUCAUGGUGUAGGGGUGAAAUCCGUUGAUAUCAUGGGGAACACCGAAGCGAAGGCAGCACACUGGCGCACUCCUGACACUGAAACACGAAAGCGUGGUAGCGAAUGGG